RNAcentral lists this ribosomal RNA (484 nucleotides) under uncultured bacterium. RNAcentral's name for it is "partial 16S ribosomal RNA". It matches the Rfam family "Bacterial small subunit ribosomal RNA", at positions 28 to 523 of the family's 1533-position model. The record is from RNAcentral.
GACGAACGCUGGCGGCGUGCUUAACACAUGCAAGUCGAACGAUGAAGCCGGAGCUUGCUCUGGUGAAUUAGUGGCGAACGGGUGAGUAACACGUGAGUAACCUGCCCUUGACUCUGGGAUAACUGCUAGAAAUGGUAGCUAAUACCGGAUACGACCCUCGGAGGCAUCUCAAGGGGGUGGAAAGAAUUUCGGUCAAGGAUGGACUCGCGGCCUAUCAGCUAGUUGGUGAGGUAACGGCUCACCAAGGCGACGACGGGUAGCCGGCCUGAGAGGGGGACCGGCCACACUGGGACUGAGACACGGCCCAGACGCCUACGGGAGGCAGCCGUGGGGAAUAUUGCACAAUGGGCGCAAGCCUGAUGCAGCAGCGCCGCGUGAGGGAUGACGGCCUUCGGGUUGUAAACCUCUUUUAGUAGGGAAGAAGCGAAAGUGACGGUACCUGCAGAAAAAGCACCGGCUAACUACGUGCCAGCAGCCGCCGUAA